GACAGAAGAAGCACCGGGCUAACUCCGUGCCAGCAGCCGCGGUAAUACGGAGGGUGCGAGCGUUAAUCUGGAAUUUACUGGGCGUAAAGCGCAUGCAGGUGGUUUGUUUAAGUCAGAUGUGAAAGCCCGGGGCUCAACCUCGGAAUAGCAUUUGAAACUGGCAGACUAGAGUACUGUAGAGGGGGGUAGAAUUUCAGGUGUAGCGGUGAAAUGCGUAGAGAUCUGAAGGAAUACCGGUGGCGAAGGCGGCCCCCUGGACAGAUACUGACACUCAGAUGCGAAAGCGUGGGGAGCAAACAGGAUUAGAUACCCUGGUAGUCCACGCCGUAAACGAUGUCUACUUGGAGGUUGUGGCCUUGAGCCGUGGCUUUCGGAGCUAACGCGUUAAGUAGACCGCCUGGGGAGUACGGUCGCAAGAUUAAAACUCAAAUGAAUUGACGGGGGCCCGCACAAGCGGUGGAGCAUGUGGUUUAAUUCGAUGCAACGCGAAGAACCUUACCUACUCUUGACAUCCAGAGAACUUUCCAGAGAUGGAUUGGUGCCUUCGGGAACUUUGAGACAGGUGCUGCAUGGCUGUCGUCAGCUCGUGUUGUGAAAUGUUGGGUUAAGUCCCGCAACGAGCGCAACCCUUAUCCUUGUUUGCCAGCGAGUAAUGUCGGGAACUCCAGGGAGACUGCCGGUGAUAAACCGGAGGAAGGUGGGGACGACGUCAAGUCAUCAUGGCCCUUACGAGUAGGGCUACACACGUGCUACAAUGGCGCAUACAGAGGGCGGCCAACUUGCGAAAGUGAGCGAAUCCCAAAAAGUGCGUCGUAGUCCGGAUUGGAGUCUGCAACUCGACUCCAUGAAGUCGGAAUCGCUAGUAAUCGUGGAUCAGAAUGCCACGGUGAAUACGUUCCCGGGCCUUGUACACACCGCCCGUCACGACCAUGGGAGUGGGCUGCAAAAGAAGUAGGUAGU
RNAcentral lists this ribosomal RNA (960 nucleotides) under Vibrio alginolyticus. RNAcentral's name for it is "bacterial SSU rRNA". It matches the Rfam family "Bacterial small subunit ribosomal RNA", at positions 480 to 1434 of the family's 1533-position model. The record is from RNAcentral. Lineage: Bacteria; Pseudomonadati; Pseudomonadota; Gammaproteobacteria; Vibrionales; Vibrionaceae.